GACGAACGCUGGCGGCAUGCUUAACACAUGCAAGUCUGACGGGCUGCUUUCGGGUGGUCAGUGGCGGACGGGUGAGUAACGCGUAGGGAUUUGUCGUUGGGUGGGGGAUAACCUUGGGAAACCGGGGCUAAGACCGCAUGACGCCUGUGGGCCAAAGCAGUGAUGCGCCUGACGAGGAGCCUGCGUUCGAUUAGCUUGUUGGUGGGGUAACGGCCUACCAAGGCUUCGAUCGAUAGCUGGUCUGAGAGGAUGAUCAGCCACACUGGGACUGAGACAC
Molecule: ribosomal RNA, 277 nt
Filed under: uncultured bacterium
Lineage: Bacteria
Description: partial 16S ribosomal RNA
Rfam family: Bacterial small subunit ribosomal RNA
Source: RNAcentral